This is an RNA transcript of Herpailurus yagouaroundi (jaguarundi), 3629 nucleotides long. It is a transcript of the gene named LysM domain containing 4, with no coding region annotated. NCBI's taxonomy places the organism in Eukaryota, Metazoa, Chordata, Mammalia, Carnivora, Felidae. The transcript has 3 exons. The record is from RefSeq and is a predicted model, not a curated record.
GCUCGAACUCACAGACCUCAAGAUCAUGACCUGAGCUGAAGUCAGAACCCUAACCGACUGAGCCACCCAGGUGCCCCGCGAUUCUUUUCAUUUUCUAUGCAGAAAGUGUGCAAUUAGGCAAUUACCUUUCCCUCACCCUCCAUCUGAGCUAGCAUAAAACACAUUCUUUUUUGUACUGACGGUAUCUGUCGAGUAUUUAUAGUGGAAGGGGACGGGAGUAAUCUCUCUAGCAAUAAGUCAUUUACCUGUACUGUAGCCGCAAGAGGAAUGGAUGUGCCUUGUGUGGAAUUAACCCUGGGGUUUGGUUUUCAGUUAAGAAAAUGAGGCAGAAGGAAGUGUUAGCCAAGACCUUCCAAGGCCCAGCCAUUGUCUGUAGGACUCCGACCAGCCACGUUUACAUGUUUGAGAACGGUGGUGGGGACUCAGGGGACUCCUCUGAGGAAGAGUCCCACCGCGUGGCUCUGCGGCCCCGGGGCAAGGAGCGCCAGAAGAAGGGUGCCCCCCACCCUCACCAGCCAGGAGCGGGGGACGUGGUGCUGCUUCAGCGGGAACUGGCCCAGGAGGACAGCCUCAACAAGCUCGCUCUUCAGUAUGGCUGCAAAGUCGCAGAUAUCAAGAAAGUCAACAACUUCAUCAGAGAACAAGAUUUAUAUGCUUUGAAAUCUAUUAAGAUCCCAGUGAAAAAUCAUGGGAUCCUAACAGAGACCCACAAAGAACUCAGACCCGUCCCAAGCCCAUCCUCAGAGACUAGAGUGACCUUCGAGGAGCUGCCAGACCCAGACAGGGCAGCUGUAGGCGCCAGUGCCCUGUCCAGCCCACUGACGGAUUUCUUUAAGGGCAUUGACCAGAAUAUUGAGCGCGCCGUGCAGUCAGAAAUCUUUUUAAAUGAAAGCUGCUGUGGAGAGACCUCCAGUCAGCCGCUGCUUCCAGCGCCUCCGAAGACCCCAACAAACGGUGCAGACUGUGGGAUUCAGUGGUGGAAUGCUGUUUUUAUCAUGCUUCUAAUUGGGAUUGUUUUACCAGUGUUUUAUUUGGUCUAUUUUAAAAUACAGGCUACUGGCGAGAUCCCCAGCGGCUUGAACACAACCACUGUCCCCAAUGGCUCGAUGACCGUGAGUGCAGUUCCAGGGCAAGCCCCCAGAGUAGCCGUCCCAGUGCCAACCAUCCCCUCUUCAGACAGCCAGUUCAGUCAGACCACCCGGGCAGGGAACUAGCCAUCAUUGUUCCUAAAGAAUCCGGCCAGUGUCAGCAUUUGACCUCCUAACAUGCAUCACCUGCCAUCGGCCAGAGCCUUGGGUGCCGCAUUUCCUUUUCUGUGACAUACGGACACGUUUCAGAAAACACGAUUGUGUUCUCAGUAACACUCACCUUGGGGAGUAGGCUUGCCUAACCCAAGGCUGUGGGAGCCAAAACACCAGCACCCUCAGCCUCCUACAUCCAGAAGUUAACAGCAAGAGAAACAUUUUCACAUGGCAGGUGUCACUUCUUGAAGCUGCCUUCGGCUGUUUUGGGACAUGGUGAGCAGGCGCAAGAUGUAAGAAAGUGACUGAAGUCUAGGACACGUUCUCUGAAGCUGGGCGAGCUACAUGUCAGCCUAGGUCGUCCGGGAAGCAGACACGGACGGAGUUGGGAGCUCAAGAUUUCUUGCAGGAGGGAAGGGGCGUGCCCCAGGCUGUGUGCGGCCAUUGGCUGGGGGCUGGCUUAGAGGAGCUCUUCCUCAGCUCACACCCCGGGACAGCUGGGGAUCGGGGCUCACCUCUUACUCUCUGGGCUAAGCACAUUCUGCUGUGUGAUGGCACUCGUGCCCUCGGCCCCUGAGGAGUCCCUCUCCUUAGUGUUCCAGGAACACUUCACUUUGUGAACCCCCUUCACUUUGUGUGGAAGGUGGGAAGAAACACUGGUUUCCUCAGUUCUACAGCAGGUGCUGCUCUGACCCUGUAGGGAGAGACCAGACAGGCAGAGGGGAGCAGGCUGGGCCAUCCAGCUGGCAGAGGGCUCCGAAUGAAAAAUCAUCUUCUUGGCUGGUGCCAGUCGGACACAGAAUCGGCUUAAAAGUAAGAUAAAGCCUAGAGGAAGGCACCCGUGGGAGCUAACUAGGAAAUCGCAGUGAAUUGAUUUUAAGUAGCUGCAGCUGUGAUUAAACUAUUUUUAGCCACAGGACUCCACCGGCUUUCAAAACCUGCUAAUAAGAGCCUCACUGUAGCCAGCAAGUAAAACCAGCACAAAAAUUUAGCUUUUCAUUUGACAGCAAGAAUCUGCUUAGUUAGGAGCUGGCUUAAAAGGCAAACCCAAGGAAGGGAACACUUUCCACACUUCCCAGUUUAAGACAAGUUUUCACACCUGUCACUUCUGAAAACAAUUCAUUUACUGAAUCUUUUGCCACUCUCUCAGUAUCAUGUAUGCAUUUUGGGUAAAACAAAUCAUCUCACCCCCUAAAUUCAAAAAGACAGAACUUGCUAUAUAUAUCAUCCGAUCCCGUUUAGCAGUAUUCCCGCCCGCCCCCGCCAACCCUGGCUCAUCAUCUAUCCCGCGAGAAGUCAUUCCUAGAGCCUGGAUGGGCUUACCGGGUCCACAGCAGCUGCAGUGACGGCCAGGCCCGCCGAUGCUGGGGCCCGGACUGCCCACUGCUUCCUGAGGGGCCAAGGGCAGCCCAGAAGGGGAGGCCCCGGGAGCAGCUACGGGUGAGGCUGGUGAGACGCCACGGUGAUCCCCUUGACCGAGUCUCAAGGUGAGUAAAGGAGAUCUGCAGGUGGGAGAGGCCUGUGAGCGGAAGGGAAAGGAGAGGGACUCGGGGGGACAGAGGGGCCGACUGGCGGCAAACACGACAGAGUCUGGAGUACACAGGAAAAGCCAGUCCGUCUUUACUGUAGUGAGUGCAGGAUACAAAUAGUUUACAACAACCUCUAGCAUUUUCUUAACCAUUUGAUAAAAAGUUCACUAUAAUAUUUAUUGUAUAAUGAAGAAAAAACAACACAUUCAGGGAAAAAUUGAGAUUAACUUAUUUUUCUUAAAAGGUUCAUCUCAAGGAUGGCAACAAAGUCCAGCUUGUGCCGCCAAACGGUUUUACGUGAUCAAACCGUGUACAGCUUCUUGUGUGAACUGUUGACUACAAACAUUUACCAAAUACAUAAAUCUCUUUUUAAAAAAGCCAUUUUAAAUAUAGCAAAGCAGUGUCUUCUUGCACAGCAAAGUGAAGAAAGUUUCUACAGAGAAAUAAAAGUUUUACAUUUGUAAAAUCUUUUUCACAUUCUACUCAUCUAGCUUCUCAUGAUCCGACGCCAGGAGUUUUCUGGUUCCUUAUUUACUAUGUAUUUCUUGUGCGCAUGAUGGUUAACCAAGAAAAUAUGUUAAUGCUUUGUUAGCUGUCCUUAUAGGUAAAGGAAAUGGUAAAACAUAUACUGUUCUUUUAGAACAAACCCCUGAUUUAGUCUCGAACACAAUGGACAGAAUUAGGGCUCAAAAGAUGGAGUUUUGAUCGGGACCAUCUGCAGACAUACGAUGGUGGCUCUGCUCUCAGUGUCGUGCCGGGCGGCGCACGGAGGGAAACUGUACUUCAACCAGUGCGGUGUACUCUAAGCUUUUUUUGUUUUUGUCUUUUAGUAAUAAAAUACUUCAUCUGAAGGAUAAAA